GUGGGGAAUAUUGGACAAUGGGGGGAACCCUGAUCCAGCCAUGCCGCGUGUGUGAAGAAGGCCUUUUGGUUGUAAAGCACUUUAAGCGAGGAGGAGGCUACCGAGAUUAAUACUCUUGGAUAGUGGACGUUACUCGCAGAAUAAGCACCGGCUAACUCUGUGCCAGCAGCCGCGGUAAUACAGAGGGUGCAAGCGUUAAUCGGAUGUACUGGGCGUAAAGCGCGCGUAGGUGGCCAAUUAAGUCAAAUGUGAAAUCCCCGAGCUUAACUUGGGAAUUGCAUUCGAUACUGGUUGGCUAGAGUAUGGGAGAGGAUGGUAGAAUUCCAGGUGUAGCGGUGAAAUGCGUAGAGAUCUGGAGGAAUACCGAUGGCGAAGGCAGCCAUCUGGCCUAAUACUGACACUGAGGUGCGAAAGCAUGGGGAGCAAACAGGAUUAGAUACCCGAGUAGUCC
Molecule: ribosomal RNA, 451 nt
Filed under: uncultured bacterium
Lineage: Bacteria
Description: partial 16S ribosomal RNA
Rfam family: Bacterial small subunit ribosomal RNA
Source: RNAcentral